AUGAAGCUGGUGCCGAGGGAGGCGGAGAAGCUGGCGCUGCACGGCGCCGGCUUCUUGGCGCAGAAGCGCCUCGCCCGCGGCCUCCGCCUCAACUACACGGAGGCCAUCGCCCUCAUCGCCGCGCAGAUUCUCGAGUUUGUUCGGGAUGGAGACAAAACUGUAACUGACUUGAUGGACUUGGGGAAACAGAUGCUGGGCAGGAGACAAGUUCUUCCGGCUGUUCCAUACCUUUUGGACACUGUACAGGUUGAAGGAACAUUUAUGGAUGGAACAAAACUAAUUACUAUACAUGACCCUAUUUGUUCUGAUGAUGGAAAUUUGGAGCUAGCUCUGCAUGGUUCUUAUCUCCCAGUACCUUCACUUGAAAAGUUUUCUGGGAGUGAUGUUGAGGACUAUCCUGGUGAAGUGCAUUUCUGCUCUGGACGCAUAAUCCUCAACCUUCAUCGCAGGGCUUUAACUCUGAAGGUUGUUAACAAGGCAGACAGGCCUAUUCAGAUCGGGAGCCAUUACCACUUUAUAGAGGCCAAUCCGUACCUGGUUUUUGAUAGACACAGAGCCUAUGGCAUGAGACUGAAUAUACCUGCUGGAACAGCCGUUCGGUUUGAGGUUCUUUUAUUCGAUCCAUCCUUUGGCAUUUCCUGCUCUGUAGAGCCUAAAAAUACAUUUCAACCAGGGGAUGCAAAAGGUGUUACACUUGUAAGCAUUGGUGGUCAUAAAGUAAUUAGAGGUGGAAAUGGCAUUGCUGAUGGUGCUGUUGACAGUUCUCAGCUUAAUGAGGUAAUGCAGAAGAUUACUGAGAAUGGUUUUGGACAUGAAGAUUAUCCGGAUGCAAGCGAAGGUCUUAUUGGUGACGGUACAUUCGACUGCAGUGUUGAUCAUGAGAAAUACUCUAGCAUGUAUGGACCUACAACUGGUGAUAAGAUUAGGCUUGGUGAUACCGAUCUUUUUGCGGAGAUUGAAAAGGACUUUGCUGUUUAUGGUGAUGAGUGCAUAUUUGGAGGGGGGAAAGUUCUGCGUGAUGGAAUGGGACAAUCCGCAGGGUAUCCAGCAUCUGCCUCCCUGGAUACAGUUAUAACAAAUGCUGUUGUGAUUGACUAUACAGGAAUAUACAAGGCUGAUAUUGGUAUAAAAGAUGGGCUUAUUAUUGCCAUUGGGAAAGCUGGAAACCCUGAUGUCAUGGAUGGUGUGCACAGCAACAUGAUUGUUGGGGUGAAUACAGAAGUUAUUGCUGCUCAAGGCAUGAUUGUAACUGCUGGUGGUAUAGAUUGCCAUGUUCACUUCAUAUGCCCUCAGCUGGUAAAUGAGGCAAUUGCAAGUGGCAUAACAACAUUGGUGGGAGGUGGAACAGGACCAGCACAUGGAACUUGUGCCACAACUUGCACCCCUGCACCGUCUCAAAUGAAACUAAUGUUGCAGUCCACCGACGAAUUUCCAAUCAACGUGGGAUUCACAGGAAAGGGAAAUACUGCAAAACCCGAAGGAUUAUCUGAGAUCAUUAUGGCAGGAGCAAUGGGUUUGAAGCUGCAUGAAGAUUGGGGAAGCACCCCAGCUGUGAUAGAUAACUGUUUAUCUGUUGCAGAAGCUUUUGAUAUCCAAGUUAAUAUCCACACGGAUACCUUAAAUGAAGCAGGUUGUGUGGAGCAUACAAUUGCAGCUUUUAAAGAUAGGUCCAUACACACAUAUCACAGCGAAGGUGCAGGUGGUGGUCAUGCCCCAGACAUCAUUAAAGUAUGUGGGGUGAAAAAUGUGUUGCCUUCUUCAACAAACCCAACCCGGCCUUUUACUUCUAACACUGUUGAUGAGCACCUUGAUAUGCUGAUGGUUUGCCACCACCUUGAUAAAAACAUCCCGGAAGAUGUAGCAUUUGCUGAAUCAAGAAUUCGAGCAGAAACAAUUGCGGCUGAGGACAUCUUGCACGACAUGGGGGCAAUCAGUAUCAUAUCAUCUGAUUCACAGGCCAUGGGUCGCAUUGGAGAGGUGAUUAUCCGAACAUGGCAAACUGCAAACAAGAUGAAAGUCCAAAGAGGUAGGUUACAUGGGCCUGGCGACUCUGAUCCUGCCAAGGAUAAUGACAACUUCCGUAUAAGAAGAUACAUAGCAAAAUAUACCAUAAAUCCUGCUAUAGUAAGCGGCUUCUCAGAUUUUGUUGGUUCUGUGGAGGCGGGAAAGUUAGCUGAUCUAGUUCUUUGGAAACCUGCUUUCUUUGGUGCAAAACCAGAAUUAAUCAUAAAAGGUGGUGCAAUUGCGUGGGCCAAUAUGGGUGAUCCGAAUGCUAGCAUUCCAACACCUGAACCUGUUAUGAUGCGACCUAUGUUUGGUGCAUAUGGAAAGGCCGGGAGUUCUCACUCGAUUGCAUUUGUGAGCAAGGCUGCCAAAGAAGCUGGUGUUGCAUCAGAGUACAAACUAGCAAAGAGGGUGGAAGCUGUUGUUGGCGUCCGCCAUUUAUCGAAGCUGGACAUGAAGCUCAACGACGCGCUUCCGAAAAUCAAGGUCGACCCCGAGACCUACACGGUUACUGCUGAUGGAGAGGUCCUGACUUGCCAGCCAGCAGCCACGGUGCCAUUAUCUCGGAACUACUUUCUUUUCUAG
Molecule: ribosomal RNA, 2589 nt
Filed under: Triticum aestivum (bread wheat)
Lineage: Eukaryota; Viridiplantae; Streptophyta; Magnoliopsida; Poales; Poaceae
Description: partial small subunit ribosomal RNA
Source: RNAcentral